CUACGGAGGGUGCAAGCGUUAUUCGGAAUCACGGGGCGUAAAGGACGCGUAGGCGGGUUGGCAAGUCAGAUGUGAAAUCCUACAGCUUAACUGUAGAACUGCAUUUGAAACUGCUAACCUAGAGUAUGGGAGGGGGAGAUGGAAUUAGUGGUGUAGGGGUAAAAUCCGUAGAUAUCACUAGGAAUACCGAAAGCGAAGGCGAUCUCCUGGAACAUAACUGACGCUAAGGCGUGAAAGCGUGGGGAGCAAACAGGAUUAGAAACCCUAGUAGUCC
This 274-nucleotide ribosomal RNA is filed under the name uncultured bacterium. Its description in RNAcentral is "partial 16S ribosomal RNA". It matches the Rfam family "Bacterial small subunit ribosomal RNA", at positions 523 to 796 of the family's 1533-position model. The record is from RNAcentral.